CCUAUUUCCUGUACAUCUCUCUGACACACACACACACACCUUUUCUCUACACACUCUCUCACACACACAUUCACUCUCUCUACACACACUUUCUCCAUCUCACACUCUCUAUGUACACACUUCCUGUCUGAUAAAUAACUGUGUCAGGAAUAUCACCUAUCAUGGUGGGCUACUGUCCCAUCUGUGGGAAACCCGUCUACUUUGCCGAACAGAAACCCUGGUCUUGACCCACCGUGUGUGUUCCCUGGCCCAGAAGGCAGCAGGAAUGAGGAGCAGAAACAAAGCUUUGGAGGCCACCACCAGGACCCAGAUCAGACCACAGUCAGCAGACACACCACAGUCAGGACAGUCACAAGAGGUGAUGGUGGGCGAGACCUCUGUACAGUAGAGAGGUGAUGGUGUGGGUGUCCUCUGUACAGUAGAGAGGUGAUGGUGUGGGAGUCCUCUGUACAGUAGAGAGGUGUUGGUGGGGGAGUCCUCUGUACAGUAGAGACGUGAUGGUGGGGGAGUCCUCUGUACAGUAGAGACGUGAUGGUGGGGGAGUCCUCUGUACAGUAGAGAGGUGAUGGUGGGGGAGUCCUCUGUACAGUAGAGAGGUGAUGG
RNAcentral lists this long non-coding RNA (603 nucleotides) under Salmo salar (Atlantic salmon). RNAcentral's name for it is "lncRNA (ENSSSAG00000112624.1)". Lineage: Eukaryota; Metazoa; Chordata; Actinopteri; Salmoniformes; Salmonidae. The record is from RNAcentral.